GACCGCUUAGCUCAGUUGGCUAGAGCAUUUCAUUGACAUUGAAAAGGUCAGUGGUUCAAGUCCACUAGCGGUCACCA
RNAcentral lists this transfer RNA (77 nucleotides) under Pseudomonadota bacterium. RNAcentral describes it as "tRNA-Val". It matches the Rfam family "tRNA". Rfam says of the family: Transfer RNA (tRNA) molecules are approximately 80 nucleotides in length. Lineage: Bacteria; Pseudomonadati; Pseudomonadota. The record is from RNAcentral. RNAcentral also lists the same sequence under 1 other name.